CAGUGGACCAGAGGCAGACCAGUGGACCAGUGGACCAGAGGCAGACCAGAGGCAGACCAGUGGACCAGAGGCAGACCAGCAGACCAGUGGAGCAGUGGCAGACCAGUGGACCAGAGGCAGACCAGUGGAGCAGUGGACCAGAGGCAGACCAGAGGACCAGAGGCAGACCAGUGGACCAGAGG
Molecule: long non-coding RNA, 182 nt
Organism: Gadus macrocephalus (Pacific cod)
Lineage: Eukaryota; Metazoa; Chordata; Actinopteri; Gadiformes; Gadidae
Exons: 2
Source: RefSeq, a predicted model, not a curated record